GAUGAACGCUGGCGGCGUGCUUAACACAUGCCAGUCGAACGGGAAACCUUUUAUUGAAGCUUCGGCAGGUUUAGCUGGUUUCUAGUGGCGGACGGGUGAGUAACGCGUUGGUAACCUGCCUUAUACAGGGGGAUAACAACCAGAAAUGGUUGCUAAUACCGCAUAAGCGCACAGGACCGCAUGGUCCGGUGUGAAAAACUCCGGUGGUAUAAGAUGGACCCGCGUGGGAUUAGCUAGUUGGCAGGGUAACGGCCUACCAAGGCGACGGUCCAUAGCCGGCAUGGGAGGGGGGACGCCGACAAUGGGACUACGGCACGGACCAGAAUCCUACGGGAGGCAGCAGUGGGGAAUAUUGCACAAUCGAGGAAACCGUGAUGCAGCGACGCCGCGUGAAGGAAGCAGUAUUUAGGUAUGUAAACUUCUAUCAGCAGGGAAGAUAGUGACGGUACCUGAUGAAGAAGCCCCGGCUAACUACGUG
RNAcentral lists this ribosomal RNA (478 nucleotides) under uncultured bacterium. Its description in RNAcentral is "partial 16S ribosomal RNA". It matches the Rfam family "Bacterial small subunit ribosomal RNA", at positions 28 to 507 of the family's 1533-position model. The record is from RNAcentral.